AGUGAACGCUGGCGGUAGGCCUAACACAUGCAAGUCGAGCGGCAGCACAGAGGAGCUUGCUCCUUGGGUGGCGGGUGGCGGACGGGUGAGGAAUACAUCGGAAUCUACUCUGUCGUGGGGGAUAACGUAGGGAAACUUACGCUAAUACCGCAUACGACCUACGGGUGAAAGCAGGGGAUCUUCGGACCUUGCGCGAUUGAAUGAGCCGAUGUCGGAUUAGCUAGUUGGCGGGGUAAAGGCCCACCAAGGCGACGAUCCGUAGCUGGUCUGAGAGGAUGAUCAGCCACACUGGAACUGAGACACGGUCCAGACUCCUACGGGAGGCAGCAGUGGGGAAUAUUGGACAAUGGGCGCAAGCCUGAUCCAGCCAUACCGCGUGGGUGAAGAAGGCCUUCGGGUUGUAAAGCCCUUUUGUUGGGAAAGAAAUCCAUCUGGUUAAUACCCGGGUGGGAUGACAGUACCCAAAGAAUAAGCACCGGCUAACUACGUGCCAGCCGCCGCCGUAA
This 506-nucleotide ribosomal RNA is filed under the name uncultured bacterium. RNAcentral's name for it is "partial 16S ribosomal RNA". It matches the Rfam family "Bacterial small subunit ribosomal RNA", at positions 29 to 523 of the family's 1533-position model. The record is from RNAcentral.